CAGUCGCCGCGGUAAUACAGAGGGUGCGAGCGUUAAUCGGAUUUACUGGGCGUAAAGCGUGCGUAGGCGGCUUCUUAAGUCGGAUGUGAAAUCCCUGAGCUUAACUUAGGAAUUGCAUUCGAUACUGGGAAGCUAGAGUAUGGGAAAGGAUGGUAGAAUUCCAGGUGUAGCGGUGAAAUGCGUAGAGAUCUGGAGGAAUACCGAUGGCGAAGGCAGCCAUCUGGCCUAAUACUGACGCUGAGGUACGAAAGCAUGGGGAGCAAACAGGAUUAGAUACCCGUGUAGUCCCUGUCUCUUAUAC
This 301-nucleotide ribosomal RNA is filed under the name uncultured bacterium. Its description in RNAcentral is "partial 16S ribosomal RNA". It matches the Rfam family "Bacterial small subunit ribosomal RNA", at positions 509 to 807 of the family's 1533-position model. The record is from RNAcentral.